RNAcentral lists this ribosomal RNA (1092 nucleotides) under Triticum aestivum (bread wheat). Its description in RNAcentral is "partial small subunit ribosomal RNA". Lineage: Eukaryota; Viridiplantae; Streptophyta; Magnoliopsida; Poales; Poaceae. The record is from RNAcentral.
AUGAAGGCGCGGCAGUUCUUGAAUGUGGUGAUGCAGAGGUCUGGCAGUGGCAGCUUGUACACGGUGAGCCGCAUCAAGGCCGGGGAGCAACUCUUCUACCGGUCCACGGCGGAAGCACGGGCGGCGGCAGCAGCAGCGCAACCCAAGGAGGGGAAUACGACGCUGCCAUCAUCAGCCGUGGCGCCACCAUGGACGGAGAACAUCUCGCGGAUGCCUCCGCCCAGGCUCAGAUUGGAAGCAUACCGCUUAGACGGCCCAAGGCUCGAUUUUUUGCCCUUCUACGGACAAGGCAGGGGCGAUGGUAAGAUCCUCUCAAUGGACUCGGCGGGCAACACCGUCCUCUGCAACGCCGUCAGCGGCUCCAUCCAGCCCGUUCCCUGCCUUAACGAACCCAAGGGGGACAGCCCCGUCUCCUUGUCUAUCACUCGUGCGGACACCUCCCAUCAAGCCUUGUACGUUAUGGACAGGUUUCCCGCAGCUCGCAAUGCUUUCAUCUUCGAAGCCCUCAUCUACGGCAAGAAUAGCUGGGAGUGGCACCGGCUCCCUCGGCCGCCCUACGUCAACAACCCAGCCUAUAACUGCACAGCCAUCCAGUCCUACAUGUUGCUUGGUGAUGGCUCGACCAUCUGCAUAUCCUCCGCUGGGCCAAGCUCCAUCGGCACCUACUGCUUUGAUACGGUUAGCUGCACCUGGGAAAAGGUUGGCCGCUGGACCCUGCCAUUCCAUGGACAGGCUGAGCAUGUCCCUGAGCUUUGCAAUCUCUGGUUCGGCAUGGCCGGCAACAGCGCCAACAACUUGUGCACGCUGGACCUCUCCAACCUUGGCAGGGCUCCCAAGUUGCUGCAUAACUGGCAGGUCCUCGACACGCCUCAUGGAUGGGUGCAGAUAAGGGGUAGCCUGCUGUACCUUGGAGCCGGCAGGUUUUGCAUCUUCAAAAGUUUUGACACCGGGGAGCAAGACGCUCAGGGUAAUCCCAGCAACACAGCGGCUGUGCUUACCGGUGUGGAGGUAGUCCACAGAGGAUCAUCUGAACUCCAAAUGAUCAAGCACAAGUCAUUUAUCAGCUAUGCCGGCAUCCAGUGUGUUCUUUAA